This 300-nucleotide ribosomal RNA is filed under the name uncultured Acidiplasma sp. Its description in RNAcentral is "bacterial SSU rRNA". It matches the Rfam family "Bacterial small subunit ribosomal RNA", at positions 496 to 795 of the family's 1533-position model. Lineage: Archaea; Methanobacteriati; Thermoplasmatota; Thermoplasmata; Thermoplasmatales; Ferroplasmaceae. The record is from RNAcentral.
GGUACGGUGGGGCAAGCGGCCGAGGUAGUACGGAGGAUCGAAGCGGUUUGCGGAGUUAUGUGGGUUAAAGGGUGAGCAGGGGGAAGGUGAAGUCGGCGGUGAAAGUUGGCAGCUCAACUGUAAAAGUGCCGUCGAAACUGGCCGUCUUGAGUAUGGAUGAAGUAGGCGGAAUUUGUGGUGUAGCGGUGAAAUGCAUAGAUAUCACGAGGAACUCCGAUUGCGCAGGCAGCGUACUAAACCAUAACUGACGCUCAUGCACGAAGGCGUGGGGAUCGAACAGGAUUAGAUACCCUUGUAGUC